RNAcentral lists this unclassified non-coding RNA (350 nucleotides) under soil metagenome. Its description in RNAcentral is "partial contains 5.8S ribosomal RNA, internal transcribed spacer 2, and large subunit ribosomal RNA". The stretch from base 1 to 120 matches the Rfam family "5.8S ribosomal RNA", at positions 35 to 154 of the family's 154-position model. The record is from RNAcentral.
GAUGAAGAACGUAGCGAACUGCGAUAAGUAAUGUGAAUUGCAGAAUUCAGUGAAUCAUCGAGUCUUUGAACGCACAUUGCGCCCCCUGGCAUUCCGGGGGGCAUGCCUGUCCGAGCGUCAUUGCUGCCCUUCAAGCCCGGCUUGUGUGUUGGGUCGUCGUCCCCCCCGGGGGACGGGCCCGAAAGGCAGCGGCGGCACCGCGCCCGGUCCUCGAGCGUAUGGGGCUUUGUCACCCGCUCGAUUAGGGCCGGCCGGGCGCCAGCCGGCGUCUCCAACCUUCUAUUUUACCAGGUUGACCUCGGAUCAGGUAGGGAUACCCGCUGAACUUAAGCAUAUCAAUAAGCGGAGGA